This is a non-coding RNA of Anopheles gambiae (African malaria mosquito), 152 nucleotides long. The record is from Rfam. Lineage: Eukaryota; Metazoa; Arthropoda; Insecta; Diptera; Culicidae.
UUCUCUUUGUCUGUCGGGUACACCUACUCAAUACGUAGGUAAUCCGUACGUAAUCCCCGUCGUACAGAACGAUAACAUGUCUCUCAAUUAACCUAGCUUGGGUAUACGGGGAAAUCCAACACCUUGGGCGGAUGGGUUGCAUGUAGUGUAGA